GCGGAGGGCCGGAUGGCCGCUGCCGUCUUCGGGCGGGAGAGGAAAGUCCGGACUCCACGAAGCAACGGUGCCGGGUAAUGCCCGGGCGGGGCAACCCGACGGAAAGCGCCACAGAAAUCAGACCGCCCCGGAUCUGAUCCGGGGUAAGGGUGAAACGGUGGGGUAAGAGCCCACCGCGGCCCUGGCGACAGGGACGGCACGGCAAGCCCCACCGGGAGCAAUGCCGAAUAGGGGACCCGCAUGGGCGGCUUCGGCCCGGGUCCCGGGUAGGCAGCUUGAGCGCGCCGGCAACGGCGGGCCUAGAGGAAUGGUCAUUCAGGGGGCCCCGGCCCCCGGACAGAAUCCGGCUUACAGGCCCUCCGCAUGC
RNAcentral lists this RNase P RNA (367 nucleotides) under Ovoidimarina sediminis. RNAcentral describes it as "RNase P RNA component class A". It matches the Rfam family "Bacterial RNase P class A". Rfam says of the family: Ribonuclease P (RNase P) is a ubiquitous endoribonuclease, found in archaea, bacteria and eukarya as well as chloroplasts and mitochondria. Its best characterised activity is the generation of mature 5'-ends of tRNAs by cleaving the 5'-leader elements of precursor-tRNAs. Lineage: Bacteria; Pseudomonadati; Pseudomonadota; Alphaproteobacteria; Rhodobacterales; Roseobacteraceae. The record is from RNAcentral.